UCCCUGGUGGUCCAGUGGUUAGGACUCGGCUUUCAUUGCCGUGGCCCAGGUUCAAUCCCUGGUUGGGGAA
RNAcentral lists this transfer RNA (70 nucleotides) under Ovis aries (sheep). RNAcentral describes it as "tRNA-Sup (TCA) (tRNA-Sup-TCA-5-1)". It matches the Rfam family "tRNA". From Rfam's summary of the family: Transfer RNA (tRNA) molecules are approximately 80 nucleotides in length. Their secondary structure includes four short double-helical elements and three loops (D, anti-codon, and T loops). Further hydrogen bonds mediate the characteristic L-shaped molecular structure. tRNAs have two regions of fundamental functional importance: the anti-codon, which is responsible for specific mRNA codon recognition, and the 3' end, to which the tRNAs corresponding amino acid is attached (by aminoacyl-tRNA synthetases). tRNAs cope with the degeneracy of the genetic code in two manners: having more than one tRNA (with a specific anti-codon) for a particular amino acid; and 'wobble' base-pairing, i.e. permitting non-standard base-pairing at the 3rd anti-codon position. Lineage: Eukaryota; Metazoa; Chordata; Mammalia; Artiodactyla; Bovidae. The record is from Rfam by way of RNAcentral.